GUUGUAUGGUUAAGUGACUAAGCGUACACGGUGGAUGCCUUGGCAGUUGGAGGCGAUGAAGGACGUACUAACUUGCGAUAAGCCUAGUCAAGCCAGUAAGAGGCGCUUGAGACUAGGAUUUCCGAAUGGGGAAACCCACCUGCUUGCAGGUAUCGUUAACUGAAUACAUAGGUUAACGAGGCGAACGCGGAGAACUGAAACAUCUAAGUACCCGUAGGAAAAGAAAUCAACCGAGAUUCCGAAAGUAGCGGCGAGCGAAAUCGGACCAGCCCUUAAGCUUUAGUGUAGUUAGUGGAACAUGCUGGAAAGCAUGACGAAACAGGGUGAUAGUCCCGUACACAAAAACUUAUCUAAAGUGAAAUCGAGUAGGUCGGAGCACGUGAAACUUUGACUGAAUAUGGGGGGACCAUCCUCCAAGGCUAAAUACUCCCAACUGACCGAUAGUGAACCAGUACCGUGAGGGAAAGGCGAAAAGAACCCCUGUGAGGGGAGUGAAAUAGAACCUGAAACCGUGUACGUACAAGCAGUAGGAGCCUACUUGUUGGGUGACUGCGUACCUUUUGUAUAAUGGGUCAGCGACUUAUAUUCUGUAGCGAGGUUAACCAUUUAGGGGAGCCGUAGCGAAAGCGAGUCUUAACUGGGCGCUUAAGUUGCAGGGUAUAGACCCGAAACCCGGUGAUCUAGCCAUGGGCAGGUUGAAGGUUGAGUAACAUCAACUGGAGGACCGAACCCACUAACGUUGAAAAGUUAGGGGAUGACCUGUGGCUAGGAGUGAAAGGCUAAUCAAACCGGGAGAUAGCUGGUUCUCCCCGAAAUCUAUUUAGGUAGAGCCUCGGACGAAUACUUACGGGGGUAGAGCACUGUUAAGGCUAGGGGGUCAUCCCGACUUACCAACCCUUUGCAAACUCCGAAUACCGUAAAGUAAUAUCCGGGAGACACACGGCGGGUGCUAACGUCCGUCGUGGAGAGGGAAACAACCCAGACCGUCAGCUAAGGUCCCAAAGUGUAUGUUAAGUGGGAAACGAUGUGGGAAGGCUAAAACAGCUAGGAGGUUGGCUUAGAAGCAGCCACCCUUUAAAGAAAGCGUAAUAGCUCACUAGUCGAGUCGGCCUGCGCGGAAGAUGUAACGGGGCUAAACAUACCACCGAAGCUACGGCUGCGUACGUAAGUAUGCGGGGUAGGGGAGCGUUCUGUAAGUGGCUGAAGGUGUGCCGGGAGGCAUGCUGGACAUAUCAGAAGUGCGAAUGCUGACAUGAGUAACGACAAGAGGAGUGAAAAACUCCUCCGCCGGAAGACCAAGGGUUCCUAUCCCAUGUUAAUCAGGGUAGGGUGAGUCGACCCCUAAGGCGAGGCUGAAGAGCGUAGUCGAUGGGAAACGGGUUAAUAUUCCCGUACUCGGUAUGAAUGCGAUGGGGGGACGGAGCAGGCUAGGCAAGCAUGGCGUUGGUUGUCCAUGUGAAAGGCUGUAGGCUGGUGACUUAGGAAAAUCCGGGUUGCUAAGGCUGAGAGUCGAGACGAGCCACUAAGGUGGUGAAGUUGUUGAUGCCCUACUUCCAGGAAAAGCCUCUAAGCUUCAGUUCAUACUGAAUCGUACCCUAAACCGACACAGGUGGUCAGGUAGAGAAUACUAAGGCGCUUGAGAGAACUCGGGUGAAGGAACUAGGCAAAAUUGUACCGUAACUUCGGGAGAAGGUACGCUCUUGUUUGUGAAGGACUUGCUCUGUAAGCAAACGAGAGCCGCAGUGACCAGGUGGCUGGGACUGUUUAUUAAAAACACAGCACUGUGCAAAAUCGUAAGAUGACGUAUACGGUGUGACACCUGCCCGGUGCCGGAAGGUUAAUUGAUGGGGUUAGCUUAGGCGAAGCUCUUGAUCGAAGCCCCGGUAAACGGCGGCCGUAACUAUAACGGUCCUAAGGUAGCGAAAUUCCUUGUCGGGUAAGUUCCGACCUGCACGAAUGGUGUAACCAUGGCCACGCUGUCUCCACCCGAGACUCAGUGAAAUUGAAAUCGCAGUGAAGAUGCUGUGUACCCGCGGCUAGACGGAAAGACCCCGUGAACCUUUACUACAGCUUGGCACUGAACAUUGACCCUACAUGUGUAGGAUAGGUGGGAGGCUUUGAAGCAGAGACGCUAGUUUCUGUGGAGCCGACCUUGAAAUACCACCCUUGUAGUGUUGAUGUUCUAACUUAGGCCCCUGAAUCGGGGUUGAGGACAGUGCCUGGUGGGUAGUUUGACUGGGGCGGUCUCCUCCCAAAGAGUAACGGAGGAGCACGAAGGUUUGCUAAGUACGGUCGGACAUCGUACGGUUAGUGUAAUGGUAGAAGCAAGCUUAACUGCGAGACAGACACGUCGAGCAGGUACGAAAGUAGGUCAUAGUGAUCCGGUGGUUCUGAAUGGAAGGGCCAUCGCUCAACGGAUAAAAGGUACUCCGGGGAUAACAGGCUGAUACCGCCCAAGAGUUCAUAUCGACGGCGGUGUUUGGCACCUCGAUGUCGGCUCAUCACAUCCUGGGGCUGAAGUCGGUCCCAAGGGUAUGGCUGUUCGCCAUUUAAAGUGGUACGCGAGCUGGGUUUAGAACGUCGUGAGACAGUUCGGUCCCUAUCUGCCGUGGGCGUUUGAGAAUUGAGAGGGGCUGCUCCUAGUACGAGAGGACCGGAGUGGACGAACCGCUGGUGUUCGGGUUGUGAUGCCAAUUGCAUUGCCCGGUAGCUACGUUCGGAACUGAUAACCGCUGAAAGCAUCUAAGCGGGAAGCAGGCCUCGAGAUGAGUUCUCACUUUGACUUAGAGUCAACUGAAGGGCCGUUGAAGACUACAACGUUGAUAGGCGAGAUGUGGAAGUGCUGUGAGGCAUUAAGCUAACUCGUACUAAUUACCCGUGAGGCUUAACCAUACAACGCCAAAGUGGUUU
Molecule: ribosomal RNA, 2910 nt
Filed under: Pseudoalteromonas piscicida
Lineage: Bacteria; Pseudomonadati; Pseudomonadota; Gammaproteobacteria; Alteromonadales; Pseudoalteromonadaceae
Also listed under: 2 other names
Description: bacterial LSU rRNA
Rfam family: Bacterial large subunit ribosomal RNA
Source: RNAcentral